CCUGGCAGGCCACAGUAAUGGCCAUGACUCUACUCCACUUCCUAUAACGGAUCCCACGCGGCUCCAUCAUGCUCUGGCAAGUCACGACAACGGACAUCACUCCACUCUUCACAACAGGCUCCACGUGGCAGGCCGCGGCGAUGGCCACAACACUCCACUGCUCUCCGUAACAAACUCCUCAUGGCUCCGAACGGCCCACUACCAGGCGGUUGCAGACGUCGCUGUCAAAUCUGUUACGCCCUCCGCCUAUAAAAAGGAGACCCCCAGAUAUGUUAUUCUCCAAGCUCUAAUCUCUAUCUCAAAACUCUACUAAAAAUUUUCGUUCAAGCACUCCAUUCUUGUUGAGGCAGAGAACUGACUUGAGCGUCGGAGGGUCUUGCC
RNAcentral lists this long non-coding RNA (381 nucleotides) under Elaeis guineensis (African oil palm). RNAcentral describes it as "long non-coding RNA (EGUI_LNC065072)". Lineage: Eukaryota; Viridiplantae; Streptophyta; Magnoliopsida; Arecales; Arecaceae. The record is from RNAcentral.